This is a long non-coding RNA of Mastomys coucha (southern multimammate mouse), 708 nucleotides long. RefSeq lists it as uncharacterized. NCBI's taxonomy places the organism in Eukaryota, Metazoa, Chordata, Mammalia, Rodentia, Muridae. The transcript is spliced from 3 exons. The record is from RefSeq and is a predicted model, not a curated record.
CAGAACCUGUCCUCUUGCUUGGUUGGACAGCACCACUAGAAGUUGCCGUGCAUUGAAGCUGCUUCCAAGCCCUACCACCAUGAGGACAAGUCAACAGAUAGAAGUCCAAGCAAUGCCCAAGUGCCCAACGGGAAAACCAGUUAAAAGUUUCAUGUCAAAAUGACCUACCUCCAACAAUGAAAUGAAGCCACCAUGAUGGGCUUUGGUGAAGUGUAAGGGUCAAAUGCACAAAGAAAACUUGAUGUAUAUCCAACCCAGACCGAAUCUUAAGCUGCAGUGUGAUCCUGGUUGCAGUCCAUGUAUGUAGAUAUUAAGACUGGAGUGAUCUGUGUUUACAAACAUGGAGACUGAGGUCCUGAAAUGAGCAAGGACUACUCAGAGGUCAUAAAGAUGGUUACUGGUGAACCCUGGAGUAGAACAUAAAUAACCUGACUUCUAGACACCUCUUUGUGACACUGGAAUACACCAAAGGACAAAGGCUACACUUUCUUUGAAGAUAAGGAUGAAGUCAGCAAGAAAGAAAGGUUGAUGUUAGCAUGAGUUCCUCUGACAGUAAGUGUAGCCUCUGUCCGUGAGUGACCAGACCUAUAGAGUAAGUAGACUCCUACAGCUGAGCACAAUUCAGCUCUCCGAUGCAAGGAACCCAUCAGCAGGGAUGCUGCUGCUCUUUAUCAUUCUAGUUCAUUAAUACAGCUGUGUUAUACCACA